This 305-nucleotide ribosomal RNA is filed under the name Acanthastrea echinata. RNAcentral's name for it is "eukaryotic LSU rRNA". It matches the Rfam family "Eukaryotic large subunit ribosomal RNA", at positions 43 to 343 of the family's 3401-position model. The record is from RNAcentral. Lineage: Eukaryota; Metazoa; Cnidaria; Anthozoa; Scleractinia; Lobophylliidae.
UUAAUAAGCGGAGGAAAAGAAACUAACAAGGAUUCCCUCAGUAACGGCGAGUGAAGCGGGAAGAGCUCAAAUUUGAAAUCUCCGGUGCUUGCAUCGGCGAGUUGUAAUUGCGAGAAGCACUUUCUAGGCGGAUCGGCCGUGCCUAAGUUGCUUGGAACAGCAGGUCGCAGAGGGUGACAACCCCGUCUGUGGCUCGGCCGGCCGCUGACGAUGUGCUUUCGAAGAGUCGGGUUGUUUGGGAAUGCAGCCCAAAAUGGGUGGUAAACUCCAUCUAAAGCUAAAUACUGGCGUGAGACCGAUAGCGA